This 301-nucleotide long non-coding RNA is filed under the name Ananas comosus (pineapple). Its description in RNAcentral is "long non-coding RNA (ACOM_LNC035551)". Lineage: Eukaryota; Viridiplantae; Streptophyta; Magnoliopsida; Poales; Bromeliaceae. The record is from RNAcentral.
AAAAUCGGAUUUUUGGUUAGCUCUCGGGUAGCCUUCAUAGGGCUGUAUACCGGUACAGGGUUGAUGGCUGUACCGGUACAGGGUUGAUGGCUGUACCGGUACAGGGUUGAUGGUUGUAUCGGUACGGGAUUGUGUACCGGUACACAGGCAGCUUCCCAGCCAACCCGAGGCUCGGGUUUUGCAUUUUCGUGGGAUGUGUACCGGUACGUGGGCCCGUGUACCGGUACGCAGUGGCAGUUUUUGAGCAGUUUGAACUGCAGGGGAUUUUUCGCGAUUGUGGCUAUUCUAUAUAGCACCCACG